RNAcentral lists this long non-coding RNA (548 nucleotides) under Serinus canaria (Common canary). RNAcentral describes it as "lncRNA (ENSSCAG00000015089.1)". The record is from RNAcentral. Lineage: Eukaryota; Metazoa; Chordata; Aves; Passeriformes; Fringillidae.
GUUCAGGCCACAGUAGAAGAAAGGAGCAAGAGCACUACAGUUUCCCCUCUGGCUGCCAGCAAACCACCUUAGGAUUCAUUCUGAAUGCUUCAGCACGGACACAACUGGCCUGACAUCCCCAUGACUAAACUCCAUAUCUCACUGCUAAGAUGGACAACACUUUCCUACUGCAUAAAUUUAAUUUUUCACCGAUGAGGAAAAUGUCUCAUCUGCCAGAGGAAUGGCAUUGUAGAAAGAUAUUUGUCCUGGUAUAAUUUUUAGGUUUCUGAUUCAGAGCAUGAAACUUGAUUCAAAACAGGAUCAAAACCUAGAUGAAAAUCAUCAUAAACUAUGGUCCUCUGGACUGGUGAAGAAAGGCUACAAGAAACAGUUUGACCCUGAACAGAACUCCUUGACCUGGAAGAUGCAGCUGAUGGAGAACCUGCCUCUCAUGUGUACUUCUGGAGAACAAUGAGCUAUUCACUUCUGCUGUGCUGCAAGGCUUAUUCACUUUAUGGUCAAUUCUCAAAUGUCUGUGAGAAGAUUAUCUGGGUUAUGUAUUAUAUGUG